AGUUUGAUGACGAGUCGUAAAUAGGACGAAACGCACGUCCUAGAU
This 45-nucleotide non-coding RNA is filed under the name Schistosoma bovis. Lineage: Eukaryota; Metazoa; Platyhelminthes; Trematoda; Strigeidida; Schistosomatidae. The record is from RNAcentral. RNAcentral also lists the same sequence under 1 other name.